AGUGAACGCUGGCGGUAGGCCUAACACAUGCAAGUCGAACGGCAGCACAGUAAGAGCUUGCUCUUACGGGUGGCGAGUGGCGGACGGGUGAGGAAUACAUCGGAAUCUACUUUUUCGUGGGGGAUAACGUAGGGAAACUUACGCUAAUACCGCAUACGACCUACGGGUGAAAGCAGGGGAUCUUCGGACCUUGCGCGAUUGAAUGAGCCGAUGUCGGAUUAGCUAGUUGGCGGGGUAAAGGCCCACCAAGUCGACGAUCCGUAGCUGGUCUGAGAGGAUGAUCAGCCACACUGGAACUGAGCCACGGUCCAGACUCCUACGGGAGGCAGCAGUGGGGAAUAUUGGCCAAUGGGCGCAAGCCUGAUCCAGCCAUACCGCGUGGGUGAAGAAGGCCUUCGGGUUGUAAAGCCCUUUUGUUGGGAAAGAAAAGCAGCAGGUUAAUACCCCGCUGUUCUGACGGUACCCAAAGAAUAAGCACCGGCUAACUUCGUG
Molecule: ribosomal RNA, 492 nt
Filed under: uncultured bacterium
Lineage: Bacteria
Description: partial 16S ribosomal RNA
Rfam family: Bacterial small subunit ribosomal RNA
Source: RNAcentral